CGUAUACGUUCGUAUAAAUACCGAUAUUUGUAUAUAUAUUCGUACAUAUACGAUAUUGGUAUUUAGGACAAACGUAAUUU
Non-coding RNA from Apis mellifera (honey bee), 80 nucleotides. Lineage: Eukaryota; Metazoa; Arthropoda; Insecta; Hymenoptera; Apidae. The record is from RefSeq and is marked provisional.